Molecule: transfer RNA, 57 nt
Filed under: Pyramimonas parkeae
Lineage: Eukaryota; Viridiplantae; Chlorophyta; Pyramimonadophyceae; Pyramimonadales; Pyramimonadaceae
Source: RNAcentral
GCAUAGCCAGUAAAGCUACGGACUUGAAAUCCAAGGGCAGUGGGUUUGAUUCAUAGU